RNAcentral lists this ribosomal RNA (328 nucleotides) under Comamonas sp. R-28218. RNAcentral describes it as "bacterial SSU rRNA". It matches the Rfam family "Bacterial small subunit ribosomal RNA", at positions 107 to 438 of the family's 1533-position model. The record is from RNAcentral. Lineage: Bacteria; Pseudomonadati; Pseudomonadota; Betaproteobacteria; Burkholderiales; Comamonadaceae.
UGAGUAAUACAUCGGAACGUGCCUAGUAGUGGGGGAUAACUACUCGAAAGAGUGGCUAAUACCGCAUGAGAUCUAUGGAUGAAAGCAGGGGACCUUCGGGCCUUGUGCUACUAGAGCGGCCGAUGGCAGAUUAGGUAGUCGGUGGGAUAAAAGCUUACCAAGCCUACGAUCUGUAGCUGGUCUGAGAGGACGAUCAGCCACACUGGGACUGAGACACGGCCCAGACUCCUACGGGAGGCAGCAGUGGGGAAUUUUGGACAAUGGGGGAAACCCUGAUCCAGCAAUGCCGCGUNCAGGAUGAAGGCCUUCGGGUUGUAAACUGCUUUUG